Molecule: transfer RNA, 73 nt
Filed under: Bos taurus (domestic cattle)
Lineage: Eukaryota; Metazoa; Chordata; Mammalia; Artiodactyla; Bovidae
Also listed under: 4 other names
Rfam family: tRNA
About the family: Transfer RNA (tRNA) molecules are approximately 80 nucleotides in length.
Source: Rfam by way of RNAcentral
UCCCUGGGGGUCCAGUGGCUAUGACUUCACACUCCCAAUGCAGGGGGCCCGGGUUCGAUCCCUGGUCAGGGAA